RNAcentral lists this ribosomal RNA (253 nucleotides) under uncultured bacterium. Its description in RNAcentral is "partial 16S ribosomal RNA". It matches the Rfam family "Bacterial small subunit ribosomal RNA", at positions 524 to 776 of the family's 1533-position model. The record is from RNAcentral.
UACAGAGGGUGCAAGCGUUGUUCGGAAUUACUGGGCGUAAAGGGCGUGUAGGCGGCUUAACAAGUCAGGUGUGAAAUCCCGGGGGCUCAACUCCGGAAGUGCAUUUGAAACUGCGAAUCUUGAGUCCGAUAGAGGUGGGUGGAAUUCCUAGUGUAGAGGUGAAAUUCGUAGAUAUUAGGAAGAACACCAGUGGCGAAGGCGGCCACUGGAUCGGUACUGACGCUGAGGUGCGAAAGCGUGGGGAGCAAACAGG